AUGGUGGCCACCGCCCAGAACGACGUCCUCAACGCUCUCUCUGAUGCUUGUUCCUGGAGUCUUGACAUUUGUCUCUUUCUGCUCCACAGUGGCCGGCACCGCAUCGCUUUCGUCGUGGACAUCCACCGUCACCUCCAUUUUACUCUCCUCACGGGUCACCUCCUCGUGCUCACGGUCAUGGACCGGGAUAUGCUGGUACGGCUCCACCCCGAAGACAAAAGCAUGUGCGAUGGCCGCGAUAGCCAUCUAAGAGAAAGCAAUUUCGCUUUACUGCAGCAACAGAAGACCAAGGAUGGCUCUCAAUCAAAUUCACAAGAUUUGCCUAUUUACCUCGAUACAAAUCAGAAAGUCUUGAAUCCCAUUUUGCACCUUGCCCUCCUUCGGCAGGAGCCCCGUAUGGCAGAUGAUUGUGAUUCCGAUUCCCUGCCACCAAGUGGCGAAUACAAUGGCCUUGAAACUUAUGAACUUGGCUAG
Molecule: ribosomal RNA, 474 nt
Filed under: Triticum aestivum (bread wheat)
Lineage: Eukaryota; Viridiplantae; Streptophyta; Magnoliopsida; Poales; Poaceae
Description: partial small subunit ribosomal RNA
Source: RNAcentral